Long non-coding RNA from Ostrea edulis (European flat oyster), 754 nucleotides. RefSeq lists it as uncharacterized. The record is from RefSeq and is a predicted model, not a curated record. The transcript has 2 exons. Lineage: Eukaryota; Metazoa; Mollusca; Bivalvia; Ostreida; Ostreidae.
GUACAGGAAGGAUCUGCUCAAGGUAAAUCAAAUUUACUCAAUUUUCAAUUUGAUUGUCUUCAGUUAAUCAGGAUAACGAAGGACACAGUUUAAAUGUAUGAUGAGUUUAUAUGUGAAUGACAUCUUAGAUUUUAACUUCAAUCUGCUCGAUCGAUAUAGUGAAAUGGGAACUUACACAUUUAGAUUUCGUCAGAUAAUCAUAGAGCGUGUCUGGACACAAUUCGGGAUGUUUUUUUUCGAAACGAGGAUUUGACAAUCGCACAGUGAUUUAUAUCAUUAUAAACUCUGGUUUUGUUACCAGUACUAGUGGUCUACAGCUGCGCUUUGAUAUACAGGCUUAACCUGGAUACCACCUCUGGUGUAUUGUCGCAGAUGAAAUCGUAACAAGACACCUGAUCCCACUUCUAGCCUCUGGUAUGUCUAGGGGUCUAUGUUUGCCCUAAUAUCGGCUGAGAACAAUAAAGUACAUUGCUCAACUAAUUCAUUUGCAUGUUAUAAAUGAAAUUACAUAUUUGGAUCCAUAAUAAAUUCUAAAACCUAAAAUCACAGUGGAACUGUAACAUUUUAAAAUUAGUUUUAAAUGGGCCACUCGCGAUCGUUAGAAUGUUGAAGUACAGAAUCGAUUUUAUUUCUACUUGUUGGGACAAAAUUACAUUGAACGAGAAGUCAUUGCACAAUGCAUGGUUAAAAUUAAAGUAAACAAAGGAGAGAGAGAGAGAGAGAGAGAGAGAGAGAGAGAGAGAGAGAGAGAGAG